CUUCCGUAGGGGAACCUGAACCUGCGGAAGGAUCAUUACCGAGUUUUCGAGCUCCGGCUCGACUCUCCCACCCUUUGUGAACGUACCUCUGUUGCUUUGGCGGCUCCGGCCGCCAAAGGACCUUCAAACUCCAGUCAGUAAACGCAGACGUCUGAUAAACAAGUUAAUAAACUAAAACUUUCAACAACGGAUCUCUUGGUUCUGGCAUCGAUGAAGAACGCAGCGAAAUGCGAUAAGUAAUGUGAAUUGCAGAAUUCAGUGAAUCAUCGAAUCUUUGAACGCACAUUGCGCCCCUUGGUAUUCCGGGGGGCAUGCCUGUUCGAGCGUCAUUACAACCCUCAAGCUCUGCUUGGAAUUGGGCACCGUCCUCACUGCGGACGCGCCUCAAAGACCUCGGCGGUGGCUGUUCAGCCCUCAAGCGUAGUAGAAUACACCUCGCUUUGGAGCGGUUGGCGUCGCCCGCCGGACGAACCUUCUGAACUUUUCUCAAGG
RNAcentral lists this ribosomal RNA (492 nucleotides) under Lasiodiplodia theobromae. Its description in RNAcentral is "eukaryotic LSU rRNA". The stretch from base 176 to 329 matches the Rfam family "5.8S ribosomal RNA". Lineage: Eukaryota; Fungi; Ascomycota; Dothideomycetes; Botryosphaeriales; Botryosphaeriaceae. The record is from RNAcentral.